GUAAAUUUGGUUUCUUCUCUUUGUGUUAGUGCAGUUGUAUCAUGUAAGUGGACACUGACUCCAACCAGUUACCAAGGAACCGCAGAUGAAGUGUGAUUAUUGAUUGUUUAGUAAAUGCCUUGGCACCUUUUAGUGACCCUAGUUUCUUAAGGUACCAGCUCUGGAGAGCUGAUUGAAAGGAGCAAUUGAAUACUGAAUACUAGGGUCUGAACUACAACAUAGUCCAGAAUAUUCAGGAAGGUUUUUAAGAUUCAGUAAAAUAUGUAAUCACUUCAUCUGCCUCUCGUGAAAUCUUCCAACUAAUUGAACAUUUUCAGGAGUUCUUUGCAUUAGUGUUACAAUUGUAAGUGUGAUAGUGCAAUGCCUUUUUGAAACUCAAGAUCAUAGAUAUUCCUAAAACUUCUGUGAUAUAAUUUUUUUUAAGUCAUAGAGGAUAAAUGU
RNAcentral lists this long non-coding RNA (441 nucleotides) under Bos taurus (domestic cattle). RNAcentral describes it as "long non-coding RNA NONBTAT021758". Lineage: Eukaryota; Metazoa; Chordata; Mammalia; Artiodactyla; Bovidae. The record is from RNAcentral.